Molecule: ribosomal RNA, 465 nt
Filed under: uncultured Glomus
Lineage: Eukaryota; Fungi; Glomeromycota; Glomeromycetes; Glomerales; Glomeraceae
Description: SSU rRNA
Rfam family: Eukaryotic small subunit ribosomal RNA
Source: RNAcentral
AGCAGCCGCGGUAAUUCCAGCUCCAAUAGCGUAUAUUAAAGUUGUUGCAGUUAAAAAGCUCGUAGUUGAAUUUCGGGAUCAAUACGUCGGUCGUGCUUCGGUACGUACUGGUGUCAUUGAUUUCUCCCUUCUGACGAACCAUGAUGUCAUUAACUUGGUGUCACGGGAAAUCAGGACUGUUACUUUGAAAAAUUAGAGUGUUUAAAGCAAGCUAACGCUUGAAUACAUUAGCAUGGAAUAAUGAAAUAGGACGUUCGAUCCUAUUUUGUUGGUUUCUAGGAUUGACGUAAUGAUUAAUAGGGAUAGUUGGGGGCAUUAGUAUUCAAUUGUCAGAGGUGAAAUUCUUGGAUUUAUUGAAGACUAACUACUGCGAAAGCAUUUGCCAAGGAUGUUUUCAUUAAUCAAGAACGAAAGUUAGGGGAUCGAAGACGAUCAGAUACCGUCGUAGUCUUAACCAUAAACUAU